GAACAGAUGUGGCAGUGAUGGAGUCCACGAUAAGUCAUGGAGCUGCAAUACCACAGCCUGGAAAUACCAACUGCUAGCUGACUUGCUAUAUGUAAAACAAAAAGAAAAGAAAAAAGUCUCGCUGUUUUAGUAUCUACAUCUGGUAUCUACACUGGUAUCUACAUCUGUCACUUGAAGUUAAACACAGCUGCUACCUGAGAUGGCCCAGAUGCAUCCUGUGUUCGCUCAGCCCCCACUGCCUGAGCACCUGCUCUGAGCCAGGCAUUGUCAGGACGACACAUCCUGGCCGCACAGAUAAACCGCAGGUGCUCAGAGGACCCCAGCAGGUCCCUUGGCUUCUCCACAGACCGGCCCUCCAUGAAGCAUGGGAAUCUGCAGGCUCUCCGGGACUUUUCC
RNAcentral lists this long non-coding RNA (396 nucleotides) under Fukomys damarensis (Damara mole-rat). Its description in RNAcentral is "lncRNA (ENSFDAG00000033568.1)". Lineage: Eukaryota; Metazoa; Chordata; Mammalia; Rodentia; Bathyergidae. The record is from RNAcentral.